AGGGAAUAGCUCAGUUGGAGAGUCCAUGCCUAGCAUGCAUGAAGUCCUGGCUUCAAUUCCCAGUAUCUCUG
RNAcentral lists this transfer RNA (71 nucleotides) under Camelus bactrianus (Bactrian camel). It matches the Rfam family "tRNA". From Rfam's summary of the family: Transfer RNA (tRNA) molecules are approximately 80 nucleotides in length. Their secondary structure includes four short double-helical elements and three loops (D, anti-codon, and T loops). RNAcentral also lists the same sequence under 1 other name. Lineage: Eukaryota; Metazoa; Chordata; Mammalia; Artiodactyla; Camelidae. The record is from Rfam by way of RNAcentral.